CUGCUCAAUGAUUUUUUAAAUUGCUGUGGUAUUUUGACUAUACGAAGGUAUUGAAAUAAGGCUUUAAUUGAGUGCUAAGAGAAUGGUUUAACAAAAAUUAACUUUCUUUAAAUUUAUAAUAGAAGUUGAUUUAAAAAUGAAAAAGUUUUUAUUUAUUUUUGGGACAAGAAGACCCUAUGAAUCUUUUUUAUAAUUUUAUUUAAACUUUUUAAAUUAGUAAAUGAAAUAUAAUUAUAAGUUGAUUGGGGUGAUUUUUAAAGAAUAUUUAUCUUUAAAAGUUGAAUAAAUUAGAACCAAAAAUUUUGGUUGUUUGAUUAAAAUACUCUGGGGAUAACAGCGUAAUUAUUUUGGAUAGUUCAUAUAGAUAAAGUAGUUUGCGACCUCGAUGUUGGAUUAAGAUACUAAUAUAAUGAAGCAGUUAUAUAAAGAAGUUUGCUCAACUUUUAAAUUCUUACUUGAUCUGAGUUCAGACCGG
This 475-nucleotide ribosomal RNA is filed under the name Alectorobius capensis. Its description in RNAcentral is "Ornithodoros capensis partial 16S ribosomal RNA". The stretch from base 330 to 475 matches the Rfam family "Bacterial large subunit ribosomal RNA", at positions 2473 to 2619 of the family's 2925-position model. The record is from RNAcentral. Lineage: Eukaryota; Metazoa; Arthropoda; Arachnida; Ixodida; Argasidae.